Camelus dromedarius (Arabian camel) is the source of this 114-nucleotide small nuclear RNA. The record is from Ensembl. Lineage: Eukaryota; Metazoa; Chordata; Mammalia; Artiodactyla; Camelidae.
GUGCUCGCUUCAGCACCACAUAUACUAAAAUUGGAACAAUACAGAGAAGAUUAGCAUGAUUAGCAUGGCCCUUAUGUAAGGAUGAUACACAUUCGUUAAGCGUUCCAUAUUUUU